GUUAUAUGGUCAAGCGAAUAAGCGCACACGGUGGAUGCCUUGGCGGUCAGAGGCGAUGAAGGACGUGGCAGCCUGCGAAAAGUAUCGGGGAGCUGGCAACAAGCUUUGAUCCGGUAAUGUCCGAAUGGGGAAACCCACCCGCUUGCGGGUAUCCUGCAGUGAAUACAUAGCUGCUGGAAGCGAACCUGGUGAACUGAAAUAUCUAAGUAACCAGAGGAAAAGAAAUCAACCGAGAUUCCGUAAGUAGCGACGAGCGAACGCGGACUAGCCCUUAAGCUGGAUUGGUUCUAGGAAAACGCUCUGGAAAGAGCGGCCAUAGAAGGUGAUAGCCCUGUAUCUGAAAGGGCCAUUCCAGUGAAGACGAGUAGGGCGGGGCACGUGAAACCCUGUCUGAACAUGGGGGGACCAUCCUCCAAGGCUAAAUACUACUGACCGACCGAUAGUGAACCAGUACCGUGAGGGAAAGGCGAAAAGAACCCCGGAGAGGGGAGUGAAAUAGAACCUGAAACCGUGUGCGUACAAGCAGUAGGAGCUCCGCAAGGAGUGACUGCGUACCUUUUGUAUAAUGGGUCAGCGACUUACUGUUCGUGGCAAGCUUAACCGUAUAGGGGAGGCGAAGGGAAACCGAGUCUGAUAAGGGCGCAUAGUCGCGGGCAGUAGACCCGAAACCGGGUGAUCUAGUCAUGCCCAGGGUGAAGGUGCGGUAACACGCACUGGAGGCCCGAACCCACUCCCGUUGCAAAGGUAGGGGAUGAGGUGUGAUUAGGAGUGAAAAGCUAAUCGAACCCGGAGAUAGCUGGUUCUCCUCGAAAGCUAUUUAGGUAGCGCCUCAUAUGUAUCCUCUCGGGGGUAGAGCACUGUUAUGGCUAGGGGGUCAUCGCGACUUACCAAACCAUUGCAAACUCCGAAUACCGAGACGGACUGUAUGGGAGACACACGGCGGGUGCUAACGUCCGUCGUGAAAAGGGAAACAACCCAGACCCACAGCUAAGGUCCCAAAUUCACUGCUAAGUGGAAAACCAUGUGGAAAGGCACAGACAGCCAGGAGGUUGGCUUAGAAGCAGCCACCCUUUAAAGAAAGCGUAAUAGCUCACUGGUCGAGUCGGUCUGCGGGGAAGAUUUAACGGGGCUAAGCAGUGAACCGAAGCUUGGGGUGCAUACUUUGUAUGCGCGGUAGAGGAGCGUUCCGUAAGCCGUUGAAGGUGGAUUGAGAAGUCUGCUGGAGGUAUCGGAAGUGCGAAUGCUGACAUGAGUAACGAUAAUGCGGGUGAAAAACCCGCACGCCGAAAGCCCAAGGUUUCCUUGCGCAACGUUAAUCGGCGCAGGGUGAGUCGGCCCCUAAGGCGAGGACGAAAGUCGUAGUCGAUGGGAAGCAGGUUAAUAUUCCUGCACCUCGCGUAAGUGCGAUGGAGGGACGGAGAAGGUUAGGUGUACCAGGCGUUGGUUGUCCUGGGGAAAGGCGGUAGGUUUGGAUCUUUGGCAAAUCCGGGAUCCUCUAAGACCGAGCACCGAGACGAGCCUUUAAGGCGAAGUCACUGAUACCACGCUUCCAGGAAAAGCUCCUAAGCUUCAGCUUACGCAGACCGUACCGUAAACCGACACAGGUGGGUAGGAUGAGAAUUCUCAGGCGCUUGAGAGAACUCGGGUGAAGGAACUAGGCAACAUGGCACCGUAACUUCGGGAGAAGGUGCACCCUUUUUGGUGGCUCGUGCGAGCUAUAGCUGAAGAGGGUCGCAGUAACCAGGCCGCUGCGACUGUUUAUCAAAAACACAGCACUCUGCAAACACGAAAGUGGACGUAUAGGGUGUGACGCCUGCCCGGUGCUGGAAGGUUAAUUGAUGGGGUCAGCCGCAAGGCGAAGCUCUUGAUCGAAGCCCCAGUAAACGGCGGCCGUAACUAUAACGGUCCUAAGGUAGCGAAAUUCCUUGUCGGGUAAGUUCCGACCUGCACGAAUGGCGUAACGACAGCGGCGCUGUCUCCACCCGAGACUCAGUGAAAUUGAAAUCGCUGUGAAGAUGCAGCGUUCCCGUGGCAAGACGGAAAGACCCCGUGAACCUUUACUAUAGCUUUACACUGAACGUUGAGUUCGUCUGUGUAGGAUAGGUGGGAGGCUAUGAAACCAUGGCGCUAGCUGUGGUGGAGCCAUCCUUGAAAUACCACCCUGUCGUGCUUGACGUUCUAACCUGGGCCCAUUAUCUGGGUCGGGGACCGUGUAUGGUGGGUAGUUUGACUGGGGCGGUCUCCUCCUAAAGAGUAACGGAGGAGCUCGAAGGUACGCUCAGCGCGGUCGGACAUCGCGCACUGUGUGCAAAGGCAUAAGCGUGCUUGACUGCAAGAUCGACGGAUCAAGCAGGUAGGAAACUAGGACUUAGUGAUCCGGUGGUUCUGUAUGGAAGGGCCAUCGCUCAACGGAUAAAAGGUACUCCGGGGAUAACAGGCUGAUACCGCCCAAGAGUUCAUAUCGACGGCGGUGUUUGGCACCUCGAUGUCGGCUCAUCACAUCCUGGGGCUGUAGUCGGUCCCAAGGGUAUGGCUGUUCGCCAUUUAAAGUGGUACGCGAGCUGGGUUCAGAACGUCGUGAGACAGUUCGGUCCCUAUCUGCCAUGGGCGUUGGAGAUUUGAGAGGGGCUGCUCCUAGUACGAGAGGACCGGAGUGGACGAACCUCUGGUGUUCCGGUUGUCACGCCAGUGGCAUUGCCGGGUAGCUAUGUUCGGAAGCGAUAACCGCUGAAAGCAUCUAAGCGGGAAGCGCGCCUCAAGAUGAGAUCUCCCGGGGCACAAGCCCCCUGAAGGAACCAUGUAGACUACGUGGUUGAUAGGUCAGGUGUGUAAGUACAGCAAUGUAUUGAGCUAACUGAUACUAAUGAUCCGUGCGGCUUGACCAUAUAACCU
Molecule: ribosomal RNA, 2892 nt
Filed under: Stenotrophomonas maltophilia
Lineage: Bacteria; Pseudomonadati; Pseudomonadota; Gammaproteobacteria; Lysobacterales; Lysobacteraceae
Description: bacterial LSU rRNA
Rfam family: Bacterial large subunit ribosomal RNA
Source: RNAcentral